CGGCCGCCCUCGGGCUGGCGGAGGCGCCGGAGGAGCCCCCGAGCUGCAGCCGUCUCCCUCGGGCUGCUGCCGGUGCUGCGGGCGGAGGCGGCUCCGCCGCGUGUUGGGCGCUGCGAGCAGGGAGCGCUGCGGUAUCGCCGGCAUGGCGGGGCUGCUGCCUGCGUUAGUGCUCGUGGCUCUUUGUGCCGUGACAGCGGAUGGAGCGGCGCUGGGCGGUAAAGCCAGAGAUGGCCGGGAGAAUGCCCAGCGCAGGGAGCAGGCGGGCUGUAUGCUUCGGAUGGCACAGGGUACUCACAAAAUAUGUCUCCCUUAGUGUCCCACAGAAACAUUCUGGGUGAAAUCUGAAUUAAGUGCUAUGAGUCUUGAUAAAUUGGAGAAGUGCCCAAGAGAAAUUCAUCAUCCUGAGAUACAAAAGGUAGGAAGUGACUUUUUUUGGUUUGGUUCUUUUUCUUUAUUGUUUUCCGGAAAUAGAAGUAAUUAAGUAUAGAUACUACUGGUUUGUUUCUUCCAGUAGCUGAUAAUACUAAUACCAACAAUAAUAAUAAUAAGAGUAAAGUAAUACUACUUCAACUGUCUUUAUUUAUCCAUUGGACUGGCCAUUUUAAAUCUAAACUUCUAAACACAAAUCAAACCAUCAUCCUUGUAGAAUCUUUAAUAGGAGUGGGCUAAAGAUCCUGGUUUUGCUUACAGGAUUUAUUGGUUCAUGAAGAGCAAGAGGUAAGUACAAGCCUAACUACCCUCUAGCUCACAGACCUGCCCGGUGAAUAGAGCUUUGUUUUUUUGAUGGGCUUGUGAUGACUUUGAAAUCAAUUGCUCAUUCAUUACAGUAAAAAAAAAAAAAUUGUUUUGAACAUGACAGCAAAAAUAACUUUAAGCACAACUUAAUAAUAAUAGAUCACCAAUUUUAGUUAAUAAUUUUAUGCUAUACUCUUGGGUGAGGGAAGACUCGGACACUCAAUAUGAGAUCAGCAAGCUAUGUUUAUUGCAGAGAGUAUCAGACACUUAUAUAGCACAUAAUAAGCUUAUGAAUAUUCUGUAAGCCAAGCGAUCUAUCGGUUAAACUAUACCAUCAACUCUUCCUCAUUCCUUUGGGCCUACAUUCCCUAUUUCCCACGUCUCUCUGUCUACUUGUUAUCCUACCCAGCUAGGCCCAGGCACACGCUGUCUUGCAGGUGCAAAACUCAAAAAUACCUGUGUUCGGUACUUUCCCAGCUCCUGGUCGGCUAACGAGCGAAUGUCUGCGUGACCUCUGUCAUGGAGCCAUUUCUCCACAUUAUACUAUCAAAGUUUAAAGGUAAAUUAUUAUAUAUUAGGAGAUGGUAUAAAGUGUAUGUUGUAAUGUGUAGGAUAUAUACAAAGAUACAUACUUGAAAGUCCGUAGAGGAAACAAAUUUUUAUGCCUUCUGUUUGACUGUUUGUCAUAUAUUUGGUUUUAUUUCCCAGGGAUCAGUGAAUUUUAACUCUGGAGUCCUCUAUGCUAAGGAUGCUCAGCUUACAGAUGAUGAAAUGUUCAGUAAUGGUGAGUUUUUCACCUUCUCCUUCAUUGUUUUGCUCAUCUGAAUAAAAAAAAAAAAAAGGCAAGAUUAAAGAAAAAGCAAUAGUUUUAUUAUUUUUACCCUGUUAUGUCUGUUUCCUCAGUAUUUGCUGGAGCUGUGCUUACCCAAGGUUUGGGUAAAACAAGCUUUGGG
Molecule: long non-coding RNA, 1688 nt
Organism: Melospiza georgiana
Lineage: Eukaryota; Metazoa; Chordata; Aves; Passeriformes; Passerellidae
Exons: 3
Source: RefSeq, a predicted model, not a curated record